Molecule: long non-coding RNA, 382 nt
Filed under: Brassica napus (rape)
Lineage: Eukaryota; Viridiplantae; Streptophyta; Magnoliopsida; Brassicales; Brassicaceae
Description: long non-coding RNA (BNAP_LNC022813)
Source: RNAcentral
UUGAGGACGAUAGUGAGACCACUGACUUCUGCUAGUUAAUCAUCGGGGCUCAGAUCAAUCUCCGAUUGUCGUGAGGGUUUUGGUGUCGGCGGAUCUGUUUUCCGAGAUAGCGGUUUCUAGUAACUUGUUUCUCGUCGGUCUGUAAUCCUAGCUCGCUUAUCUGCUUGUGGGGAUUUAGAUAUGUGAAGCAUCAGACCUAUGAAGCGAAGAACAUUUCUAUCAGUGAACGACGGUUAAUGUUAAAAGUCGUCUUCAACACGUUUUAUGGCCGCGGGGCUCCUCCAGUGUGUGGUCUCUGGUUGAUGGUGACGGUACGGCUUGGGAUUGGACAACCUGAGCUAGUGAAACCCGGAGAUCUGAUGACCACCGUGUUCAAGCGGAG